Molecule: transfer RNA, 85 nt
Filed under: Hyphomicrobiales bacterium
Lineage: Bacteria; Pseudomonadati; Pseudomonadota; Alphaproteobacteria; Hyphomicrobiales
Description: Rhizobiales bacterium (beach sand metagenome) tRNA-Leu
Rfam family: tRNA
About the family: Transfer RNA (tRNA) molecules are approximately 80 nucleotides in length.
Source: RNAcentral
GCGACCGUGGUGGAAUUGGUAUACACAACAGACUUAAAAUCUGUCGACUUUGGUCAUGCGGGUUCAAGUCCCGCCGGUCGCACCA